RNAcentral lists this ribosomal RNA (513 nucleotides) under uncultured bacterium. RNAcentral describes it as "partial 16S ribosomal RNA". It matches the Rfam family "Bacterial small subunit ribosomal RNA", at positions 28 to 523 of the family's 1533-position model. The record is from RNAcentral.
GACGAACGCUGGCGGCAUGCCUAAUACAUGCGAGUCGAGCGAACAGAUGAAGUGCUUGCACUUCUGACGUUAGCGGCGAACGGGUGAGUAACACGUAAGGAAUCUACCUAUAAGUGGGGGAUAACAUUCGGAAACGGGUGCUAAUACCGCAUAAUAUCUUCUUCCGCAUGGAAGAAGAUUGAAAGACGGCUCUGCUGUCACUUAUAGAUGACCUUGCGGUGCAUUAGUUAGUUGGUGGGGUAAUGGCCUACCAAGACGAUGAUGCAUAGCCGACCUGAGAGGGUGAUCGGCCACAUUGGGACUGAGACACGGCCCAAACUCCUACGGGAGGCAGCAGUAGGGAAUCUUCCGCAAUGGGCGAAAGCCUGACGGAGCAAUGCCGCGUGAGUGAAGAAGGCCUUCGGGUCGUAAAACUCUGUUAUAAGAGAAGAACAAAUUGUAGAGUAACUGCUACAGUCUUGACGGUAUCUUAUCAGAAAGCCACGGCUAACUACGUGCCAGCCGCCGCAGUAA